This 404-nucleotide ribosomal RNA is filed under the name Blautia sp. Its description in RNAcentral is "bacterial SSU rRNA". It matches the Rfam family "Bacterial small subunit ribosomal RNA", at positions 355 to 776 of the family's 1533-position model. Lineage: Bacteria; Bacillati; Bacillota; Clostridia; Lachnospirales; Lachnospiraceae. The record is from RNAcentral.
UGGGGAAUAUUGCACAAUGGGGGAAACCCUGAUGCAGCGACGCCGCGUGAAGGAAGAAGUAUCUCGGUAUGUAAACUUCUAUCAGCAGGGAAGAAAAUGACGGUACCUGACUAAGAAGCCCCGGCUAACUACGUGCCAGCAGCCGCGGUAAUACGUAGGGGGCAAGCGUUAUCCGGAUUUACUGGGUGUAAAGGGAGCGUAGACGGAGCUGCAAGUCUGAUGUGAAAGGCUGGGGCUUAACCCCAGGACUGCAUUGGAAACUGUAGAUCUUGAGUGCCGGAGAGGUAAGCGGAAUUCCUAGUGUAGCGGUGAAAUGCGUAGAUAUUAGGAGGAACACCAGUGGCGAAGGCGGCUUACUGGACGAUAACUGACACUGAGGCACGAAAGCGUGGGGAGCAAACAGG